CCUACGGGAGGCAGCAGUGAGGAAUAUUGGACAAUGGGCGCAAGCCUGAUCCAGCCAUGCCGCGUGCAGGAUGACGGUCCUAUGGAUUGUAAACUGCUUUUGUACAGGAAGAAACACUGGUUCGUGAACCAGCUUGACGGUACUGUAAGAAUAAGGAUCGGCUAACUCCGUGCCAGCAGCCGCGGUAAUACGGAGGAUCCAAGCGUUAUCCGGAAUCAUUGGGUUUAAAGGGUCCGUAGGCGGUUUAAUAAGUCAGUGGUGAAAGCCCAUCGCUCAACGGUGGAACGGCCAUUGAUACUGUUAGACUUGAAUUAUUAGGAAGUAACUAGAAUAUGUAGUGUAGCGGUGAAAUGCUUAGAGAUUACAUGGAAUACCAAUUGCGAAGGCAGGUUACUACUAAUUGAUUGACGCUGAUGGACGAAAGCGUGGGUAGCGAACAGGAUUAGAUACCCUGGUAGUCCACGCCGUAAACGAUGGAUACUAGCUGUUGGAAGCAAUUUCAGUGGCUAAGCGAAAGUGAUAAGUAUCCCACCUGGGGAGUACGUUCGCAAGAAUGAAACUUAAAUGAAUUGACGG
RNAcentral lists this ribosomal RNA (576 nucleotides) under uncultured bacterium. RNAcentral describes it as "bacterial SSU rRNA". It matches the Rfam family "Bacterial small subunit ribosomal RNA", at positions 338 to 916 of the family's 1533-position model. The record is from RNAcentral.